RNAcentral lists this ribosomal RNA (471 nucleotides) under uncultured beta proteobacterium. RNAcentral describes it as "bacterial SSU rRNA". It matches the Rfam family "Bacterial small subunit ribosomal RNA", at positions 198 to 650 of the family's 1533-position model. Lineage: Bacteria; Pseudomonadati; Pseudomonadota; Betaproteobacteria. The record is from RNAcentral.
GGAGGAAAGCAGGGGAUCGCAAGACCUUGCGCUCAUUGAGCGGCCGAUGCCUGAUUAGCUAGUUGGUGAGGUAAAGGCUUACCAAGGCGACGAUCAGUAGCUGGUCUGAGAGGACGACCAGCCACACUGGGACUGAGACACGGCCCAGACUCCUACGGGAGGCAGCAGUGGGGAAUUUUGGACAAUGGGGGAAACCCUGAUCCAGCCAUGCCGCGUGAGUGAAGAAGGCCUUCGGGUUGUAAAGCUCUUUCAGCCGGAACGAAACGGUCACGGCUAAUACCUGUGACUACUGACGGUACCGGAAGAAGAAGCACCGGCUAACUACGUGCCAGCAGCCGCGGUAAUACGUAGGGUGCGAGCGUUAAUCGGAAUUACUGGGCGUAAAGCGUGCGCAGGCGGUUUUGUAAGUCAGAAGUGAAAUCCCCGGGCUUAACCUGGGAACUGCGUUUGAAAAUGCAAAGCUAGAAGGGC